UAACCUCUGACGAGAGUCGUGUAUGUUG
Molecule: regulatory RNA element, 28 nt
Organism: Capnocytophaga sp. oral taxon 332
Lineage: Bacteria; Pseudomonadati; Bacteroidota; Flavobacteriia; Flavobacteriales; Flavobacteriaceae
Rfam family: L19-Flavobacteria ribosomal protein leader
Source: Rfam